Molecule: unclassified non-coding RNA, 3290 nt
Filed under: Cotesia glomerata
Lineage: Eukaryota; Metazoa; Arthropoda; Insecta; Hymenoptera; Braconidae
Description: glucose transporter type 1, transcript variant X12
Source: RNAcentral
GAUUAGUAGAUGCUGCCUUGCCAGUCAGACAACACGGAUUUCGGUUCGCGCUUUUUGUCACUUUAAUCGAUAUUUGUCUGUAAAAACCAUUUCGUUCUUAAUGAAAUUGGUUCGUUGAUUAAACAAAUCUCCAUUAAUUAAUUAGCUAAUUAAUUAAUUUGUAUAAUGUUUAUGAUAAUUAAUAGUAAACUUUUAGAGUGUAAAAAUGUAAAAUCAGUGCAAUAAAUGAUAAUUUAUGUUACACUAUUGAAUCAAGUAAUUAAUGAUUCUGGAGUUACGUAAUUUAUCAUUAAAUCUGCAAUUAUUAAAGUGCGUAUUUUUAAUCUAUUGCUGUAAUUAUCGUCCCACGGUUAUUGUUACGGCUGGAGACGAGUCGAGUGGCCGCGGGACUUGGUGAGACGCACAACCGUCUACCUUUCAACGUUACGUCGGAGCUUAUCUGCGACGAGGACGAGGUUGAGGGCUACACAAGUGUCGCCAGCCAGUUUGUAAUAACCUACCACAAUGGAUUGUGCAUUUUUUAAGCACAUACGAUGGCCGAUUCACGCGGCUUCAAGCCAAUAAAUUUGUGGAGCGGUGACCCGGACUCGGAGUGUCUUUACGAGGAGAUAUCUGGUCUCUCGUCAUCGGUGGACCCAGAGCGUCGCAGCGUAGGAUCCGGGACCAGCGAGCGGAGCAGCCGGUCGAGGCGCAAAGCGAGCAGUCAGGAGACUCUCCAGCGAGCAGCAAGUGUAGGCAGACGCGUGUAUCACCAACAGGAGCAGGCCCAGGCGGUUUUGAUUCCCGAUAAAUCGGUUCCCCAGCCGCAAGUGCGUCACAAUACUCUUCCCGCUAAUUAUCAGCACCAGCAUCAACAGAUUCAGCACCACCAAUUGCAGCAGCUGCAUCAACAGCAUUUGCAUCAGCAGCCGUACUCAGGAACAACCCAAUCAGCGGUACACAAUUUCCGGGAUCAAUUCGGGAGUGGAAACACCGCCGGCAGGGUGGAGGAGCAAUAUGCCACACGAGGAUUCUAUGGGGAGUCUCUACACGGCGCCCCAUUCGAGGCUUCUGCCUCAUUCAAGCUGACGAGGGGACGCACCGCUGCCCACUAUCAUCACUAUCAUCAUUACACCAGCAGUCUGCGGCGUCCUGGCGCUAGACCCGCACCUAGAUACCACUUUCCACGCGGUGUAUUCAGUGAUGAGACGCAGGAAGAAAUACAAGAGGACGAUGAAGCUACUCUCAGAGAGUUGCUCGUAAGUCUGCAGAAACAGGUCAGCGUGAUGAGUAUGAACUUGAGUGCCAAGCUGGACGAGCUUCAGCAGCGGGGUGACCGUCAGCUCGAGACGACGGUGGCUCUUUGUGAGAUUCGUACUCAGCUACAGGAGCUCACCAAGAGCGUCGAGUCCUGUCAGAGCGAGGUCAGCGAGGUCAAACGGGACAUGGUCGCGAUAAAGAAUAUUGUUCUUGUCACGCGCUGCCUGCAGCACGAACUGGACACGGUGCAGCAAGUCAAGGAGGAAAUUGAGGAAUUACGGGAGUACGUGGACCGACUUGAGGAGCAUUCACAUCGACGGAAACUCAGGCUUUUGGAACAGGGAUUAACAUUUUUCCUGGCGUACGCGAUAUUCGCAGCGGUGUUUGGAAUGCUUCAGUUCGGAUACAACACUGGAGUAAUAAAUGCACCUCAAGGGAAUAUUGCCAACUUCAUGAAAGAUGUCUACAAAGACAGGUACGGCGAAGAUAUGCCUGAUUAUUAUGUUAAAAAUUUGUACUCGGUAGCAGUGAGCAUAUUUGCAAUUGGGGGGAUGAUCGGUGGGUUCAGCGGCGGAAUUAUUGCUAACAGAUUUGGAAGAAAAGGGGGACUGCUACUAAACAAUGUACUAGGAAUAGUAGGAGCAUGUUUAAUGGGUUUCACAAAAGCAGCUCAUUCAUACGAGAUGUUAUUCUUGGGACGUCUUAUAAUCGGUAUUAACUGCGGACUGAACACGUCAUUAGUUCCCAUGUACAUAUCGGAAAUAGCCCCGCUGAAUUUACGAGGUGGGCUGGGAACUGUUAAUCAGCUGGCUGUUACUAUCGGCCUCUUAAUUUCCCAAGUACUGGGUAUUGAACAAAUUCUGGGCACUAAUGAUCGCUGGCCCGUUCUACUGGGCUUAGCUGUCAUACCGCCUAUUGCACAACUUCUGUUACUGCCAAUCUGUCCAGAAUCUCCAAGGUAUUUGCUCAUCACCAAGCAGUGGGAAGAGGAAGCACGUCGCGCACUGAGAAAACUCCGAGCUAGCAAUCAAGUCGAAGAAGAUAUUGAAGAAAUGAGAGCUGAGGAGCGAGCUCAACAGGCUGAGUCGACUAUUUCGAUGGGCGAGCUUAUAUGCAGUCCAACUUUAAGAGCUCCCCUCGUUAUUGGUGUAGUCAUGCAACUAUCACAGCAACUUUCGGGUAUCAAUGCAGUCUUUUAUUACUCGACAAUACUGUUCCGAAGUGCUGGAUUGUCUGACGAAAGUGCCAAGUUCGCAACAAUCGGUAUAGGCGCUAUUAUGGUUGGUAUGACGUUAGUAUCCAUACCGUUAAUGGAUCGCACUGGUAGACGAACGCUACAUCUAUAUGGUCUCGGUGGAAUGUUUAUAUUUUCCAUAUUCAUCACCAUUUCGUUCCUUAUAAAGGAGUUUUUCAAUUACGUACAGGAAAUGAUCGGGUGGAUGUCUUAUCUAUCAGUGGUAUCGACAUUAAGUUUCGUAGUAUUCUUCGCCGUGGGACCGGGUUCGAUACCGUGGAUGAUCACCGCCGAGUUAUUUUCUCAAGGUCCUCGUCCGGCUGCCAUGUCAAUUGCUGUCCUCGUUAAUUGGAUGGCUAAUUUUGUCGUCGGAAUCGGUUUUCCAAGCAUGAUGACCUGUCUCGAUAAUUAUACAUUCCUACCGUUCAGUGCAUUCCUGGCUGUUUUCUGGAUCUUUACGUACAAAAAGGUCCCGGAAACUAAAAACAAGACCUUCGAAGAAAUAUUGGCUCUCUUUAGGCACAACCACGACAGGAGCAGCUUGCGGGACAGCCGACUUUAUGGGAGCAUGCUAAACAGUACGAAUGCGUUAGAGGGACACAUACCGCCAGCCGAGAGUGCAGCCCUGAUGGUGGCCGAGGAGAAGCCACAUCCUGACUCAUGACGCGCAAAAAGGAAACGAUGUUACAUUAGAAGUUUAUAACAACUUACCACAGAUAUAAUACACACAAAACCUAGGAUAAACUCGUUGUGUUUGCAGCUGGAUCAGAACGCUCUUCCAUCGCUCCCGCUCAACCGGAGAGGGCACCGCCCCCGC